ACGAACGCUGGCGGCAGGCUUAAUACAUGCAAGUCGAACGGUUGUAGCAAUACAGCAGUGGCAGACGGGUGAGUAACACGUGGGAACCUACCUAGGGGUACGGAAUAACUCAGGGAAACUUGUGCUAAUACCGUAUACGACCUUCGGGUGAAAGAUUUAUCGCCCCUAGAUGGGCCCGCGUUGGAUUAGCUAGUUGGUGAGGUAAAAGCUCACCAAGGCGACGAUCCAUAGCUGGUCUGAGAGGAUGAUCAGCCACACUGGGACUGAGACACGGCCCAGACUCCUACGGGAGGCAGCAGUAGGGAAUCUUGGACAAUGGGCGAAAGCCUGAUCCAGCCAUGCCGCGUGUGUGAUGAAGGCCUUAGGGUUGUAAAGCACUUUCGCCAGGGAAGAUAAUGACGGUACCUGGAUAAGAAGCCCCGGCUAACUUCGU
RNAcentral lists this ribosomal RNA (433 nucleotides) under uncultured bacterium. RNAcentral's name for it is "bacterial SSU rRNA". It matches the Rfam family "Bacterial small subunit ribosomal RNA", at positions 29 to 506 of the family's 1533-position model. The record is from RNAcentral.